CAGCAGCCGCGGUAAUACGUAGGGUGCAAGCGUUAAUCGGAAUUACUGGGCGUAAAGCGUGCGCAGGCGGUUUGUUAAGACAGAUGUGAAAUCCCCGGGCUCAACCUGGGAACUGCAUUUGUGACUGGCAAGCUAGAGUGCGGCAGAGGGGGAUGGAAUUCCACGUGUAGCGGUGAAAUGCGUAGAGAUGUGGAGGAACACCAGUGGCGAAGGCGACUCUCUGGUCUGUAACUGACGCUGAGGAGCGAAAGCGUGGGGAGCGAACAGGAUUAGAGACCCCCGUAGUCCCUGUCUCUUAUAC
Molecule: ribosomal RNA, 301 nt
Filed under: uncultured bacterium
Lineage: Bacteria
Description: partial 16S ribosomal RNA
Rfam family: Bacterial small subunit ribosomal RNA
Source: RNAcentral